This 876-nucleotide ribosomal RNA is filed under the name Pseudarthrobacter oxydans. RNAcentral describes it as "bacterial SSU rRNA". It matches the Rfam family "Bacterial small subunit ribosomal RNA", at positions 440 to 1328 of the family's 1533-position model. Lineage: Bacteria; Bacillati; Actinomycetota; Actinomycetes; Micrococcales; Micrococcaceae. The record is from RNAcentral.
UAGGGAAGAAGCGAAAGUGACGGUACCUGCAGAAGAAGCGCCGGCUNANNACGUGCCAGCAGCCGCGGUAAUACGUAGGGCGCAAGCGUUAUCCGGAAUUAUUGGGCGUAAAGAGCUCGUAGGCGGUUUGUCGCGUCUGCCGUGAAAGUCCGGGGCUCAACUCCGGAUCUGCGGUGGGUACGGGCAGACUAGAGUGAUGUAGGGGAGACUGGAAUUCCUGGUGUAGCGGUGAAAUGCGCAGAUAUCAGGAGGAACACCGAUGGCGAAGGCAGGUCUCUGGGCAUUAACUGACGCUGAGGAGCGAAAGCAUGGGGAGCGAACAGGAUUAGAUACCCUGGUAGUCCAUGCGUAAACGUUGGGCACUAGGUGUGGGGGACAUUCCACGUUUUCCGCGCCGUAGCUAACGCAUUAAGUGCCCCGCCUGGGGAGUACGGCCGCAAGGCUAAAACUCAAAGGAAUUGACGGGGGCCCGCACAAGCGGCGGAGCAUGCGGAUUAAUUCGAUGCAACGCGAAGAACCUUACCAAGGCUUGACAUGAACCGGUAAUACCUGGAGACAGGUGCCCCGCUUGCGGUCGGUUUACAGGUGGUGCAUGGUUGUCGUCAGCUCGUGUCGUGAGAUGUUGGGUUAAGUCCCGCAACGAGCGCAACCCUCGUUCUAUGUUGCCAGCACGUGAUGGUGGGGACUCAUAGGAGACUGCCGGGGUCAACUCGGAGGAAGGUGGGGACGACGUCAAAUCAUCAUGCCCCUUAUGUCUUGGGCUUCACGCAUGCUACAAUGGCCGGUACAAAGGGUUGCGAUACUGUGAGGUGGAGCUAAUCCCAAAAAGCCGGUCUCAGUUCGGAUUGGGGUCUGCAACUCGACCCCNNGNAGUNG